UUCUAGUCUUAUCGGUGGAUCACUCGGCUCGUGGAUCGAUGAAGAACGCAGCCAACUGCGAUAAUUAGUGUGAACUGCAGAAACCUUGAACACAGAACUUUCGAAUGCACAUUGCGCCAUUGGAGUGACAUCCAUUGGCACGCCUGGUUCAGGGUCGU
Molecule: ribosomal RNA, 158 nt
Filed under: Globodera pallida
Lineage: Eukaryota; Metazoa; Nematoda; Chromadorea; Rhabditida; Heteroderidae
Description: 5.8S ribosomal RNA
Rfam family: 5.8S ribosomal RNA
About the family: 5.8S ribosomal RNA (5.8S rRNA) is a component of the large subunit of the eukaryotic ribosome.
Source: RNAcentral